RNAcentral lists this ribosomal RNA (442 nucleotides) under uncultured bacterium. RNAcentral describes it as "partial 16S ribosomal RNA". It matches the Rfam family "Bacterial small subunit ribosomal RNA", at positions 338 to 795 of the family's 1533-position model. The record is from RNAcentral.
CCUACGGGCGGCAGCAGUGGGGAAUAUUGGGCAAUGGGCGCAAGCCUGACCCAGCAAUGCCGCGUGAAGGAAGAAGGCUUUCGGGUUGUAAACUUCUUUGACAGGGGAAGAGCAGAAGACGGUACCCUGAAAACAAGCUACGGCUAACUACGUGCCAGCAGCCGCGGGAAUACGUAGGUGGCAAGCGUUGUCCGGAUUUACUGGGUGUAAAGGGCGGUGAGCCGGGAAGGCAAGUCAGAUGUGAAAUCCGGAGGCUCAACCUCCGAAUUGCAUUUGAAACUGUUUUUCUUGAGUACUGGAGAGGCAGGCGGAAUGCCUUGUGUAGCGGUGAAAUGCGUAGAUAUUAGGAGGAACACCAGUGGCGGAGGCGGCUUACUGGACGGUAACUGACGCUGAGGCUCGAAAGCGUGGGGAGCAAACAGGAUUAGAUACCCUAGUAGUC